RNAcentral lists this ribosomal RNA (72 nucleotides) under Phlebotomus papatasi. RNAcentral describes it as "partial 28S ribosomal RNA". The record is from RNAcentral. Lineage: Eukaryota; Metazoa; Arthropoda; Insecta; Diptera; Psychodidae.
UNNGACAACUCAUACUUGACGACCCCCCGAAGUUUUUCAUCUUAUUAAGCGGAGGAGGAGAAAAUACUCAGG